RNAcentral lists this transfer RNA (72 nucleotides) under Phytophthora captiosa. Its description in RNAcentral is "tRNA-Asp". It matches the Rfam family "tRNA". From Rfam's summary of the family: Transfer RNA (tRNA) molecules are approximately 80 nucleotides in length. Their secondary structure includes four short double-helical elements and three loops (D, anti-codon, and T loops). Lineage: Eukaryota; Oomycota; Peronosporomycetes; Peronosporales; Peronosporaceae. The record is from RNAcentral.
GGAAAAGUAGCUUAGUUGGUUAGAGUGGUAACUUGUCAUACUAUAAGGCAGGUUCGAGUCCUAUUUUUUCCG